This 74-nucleotide transfer RNA is filed under the name Nocardiopsis sp. JB363. It matches the Rfam family "tRNA". From Rfam's summary of the family: Transfer RNA (tRNA) molecules are approximately 80 nucleotides in length. RNAcentral also lists the same sequence under 1 other name. Lineage: Bacteria; Bacillati; Actinomycetota; Actinomycetes; Streptosporangiales; Nocardiopsidaceae. The record is from Rfam by way of RNAcentral.
CGGGACGUAGCGCAGCUUGGUAGCGCACUUGACUGGGGGUCAAGGGGUCGUGGGUUCAAAUCCCGCCGUCCCGA